CAGUUUUUGUCACAGAAUGCUUCAGCUGCCAGAUCUAUCCGUGCCAGCACCAGGAGGUUUGUUCUCACAACAGAAGUGAGCAGCUGUGGAAGCAGGGAGGUCCCAGCUGCCUCCUCUGGCAGUGCUGUGGGCACGGACCACUGUGCUGAUGGAAAUGACCCUGGGAACCAGCUCUAUUCUGUUGAAUGGAAGGCGUGUCUUUCUGAGAGAAUUAGUAAUAAAUUAAGGACAGACCUGGAAGGAGAAGGGACACUGAAACUGAUAUCUCAGUCUGAAUUCAGUGGCCACCUGCACAGAGAAAAGCACGGAGCCUGGGAAGAUACAUACACAUUUGAGGAGAGAGAGCUCAUCCUGGGCAGCCUCAGCAAAGCCUUCCCUGCUCUUCAGGACCUUCACGGCUACAUUCUUCUUCUUCCUACAAAAGGAACCACAGCUCUACAUCAUGCAGAACCCACCAGCUUGCUGCAGGCCUGGACCAGGUCAGAGAACUUCAGCCCAAAAACGUACUGGUCCCUGUUAGCUACAGCAGGGAGCAGUCAUGCUUCACCUCGCCUGCACAGAAGGGUGCAAGGAGCCACCCCACCACUUGCCAUGCACCCCAUCGCCUGGACCUGUGGAGUUGGAGUACUUAGCAGAGUGAUAUGUGCCUUCAUCUUCAUCCAGCACAGACGUGACCCCAAACCUGCCAUUCAAGAACAUCAUCUUUCUGAGGACACGAUUAACAUGGUGACAUCCUCUCACAGCACUUACAUUGUCCAGAGAGAGGCAGCUGCUUCCCACAGAGCCUGCUGCCUGCAGGAGCAUCAGAGGGGCUCCUUCCAUCCCCAGAGAUGGAAAUCAAGAAACCAGGCAGAGACUGGAAGAAACGUGAAUUAUGAGAACUAAUAAAUAAGUCUUCCCUGCACUAGGGAAUUUUAUAAUAAAAGCUGUUUUGUGCAAAUUUUAAUGCAACAGAACCCUGUUGUAGUAAUGGAUUUUACCACAGGAGCGUGGUGUGGACGGAGAGAAACAGGGCCAAGCCUAAGCACCCAGCAAGGGAGCUGCAGCAGGUGCCCACAGUGAGGAGGAUGCUGUUACCUAGAACUCCAACAGCAAGCAGUGGGGAGAGAUGGGCACCACUCACUGCCCCUGCGCUGGGCAGUGCCUCCUGGUCAGCCACGUAGGGACAAACUUGAGAUGUUAAAGAAAUCACGUUUAGCUCUACUCUUAUGUCUUAGUUAUUGCUUUGAUAAAAGCUGACUUUCACAGAUACGCUCAGAGAAAGUAAAAAAUCUCCAACAUCCAGAAGCACUACUGAGAAGUAAAGAGGAGCCCGCUUCCCUGGCAGCCUGAGCCAGCUGUGUGGACAGAACUCAUCUGAGCACAGCAAGUAACAGCAGAAGAGACGCAACAGGACAUAGAGCUGCCAGUGCAGAGCAGGAGAGACUGGAUCCCUAGGAGAGCUCCUCAGUC
Molecule: long non-coding RNA, 1452 nt
Filed under: Meleagris gallopavo (turkey)
Lineage: Eukaryota; Metazoa; Chordata; Aves; Galliformes; Phasianidae
Description: lncRNA (ENSMGAG00000018876.1)
Source: RNAcentral